This 434-nucleotide ribosomal RNA is filed under the name uncultured Klebsiella sp. Its description in RNAcentral is "bacterial SSU rRNA". It matches the Rfam family "Bacterial small subunit ribosomal RNA", at positions 958 to 1392 of the family's 1533-position model. Lineage: Bacteria; Pseudomonadati; Pseudomonadota; Gammaproteobacteria; Enterobacterales; Enterobacteriaceae. The record is from RNAcentral.
AACGCGAAGAACCUUACCUGGUCUUGACAUCCACAGAACUUAGCAGAGAUGCUUUGGUGCCUUCGGGAACUGUGAGACAGGUGCUGCAUGGCUGUCGUCAGCUCGUGUUGUGAAAUGUUGGGUUAAGUCCCGCAACGAGCGCAACCCUUAUCCUUUGUUGCCAGCGGUUCGGCCGGGAACUCAAAGGAGACUGCCAGUGAUAAACUGGAGGAAGGUGGGGAUGACGUCAAGUCAUCAUGGCCCUUACGACCAGGGCUACACACGUGCUACAAUGGCAUAUACAAAGAGAAGCGACCUCGCGAGAGCAAGCGGACCUCAUAAAGUAUGUCGUAGUCCGGAUUGGAGUCUGCAACUCGACUCCAUGAAGUCGGAAUCGCUAGUAAUCGUAGAUCAGAAUGCUACGGUGAAUACGUUCUCGGGUCUUGUACACACCG